This 288-nucleotide ribosomal RNA is filed under the name uncultured bacterium. RNAcentral's name for it is "partial 16S ribosomal RNA". It matches the Rfam family "Bacterial small subunit ribosomal RNA", at positions 28 to 319 of the family's 1533-position model. The record is from RNAcentral.
GACGAACGCUGGCGGCGUGCUUAACACAUGCAAGUCGAACGAUGAAGCCUUUCGGGGUGGAUUAGUGGCGAACGGGUGAGUAACACGUGGGCAAUCUGCCCUGUACUUUGGGAUAAGCCUUGGAAACGGGGUCUAAUACCGGAUAUCACUUACCUCCGCAUGGGGUUUGGUUGAAAGUUCUGGCGGUACAGGAUGAGCCCGCCGGCCUAUCAGCUUGUUGGGUGGGGUAGUGCCUACCAAGGCGACGACGGGUAGCCGGCCUGAGAGGGUGACCGGCCACACUGGGAC